CUAUGGGAAGUCCCACACAGCAGUCUCCUUCCUUCGGGUUAGGCAAUAAUCAUCCGGGGAACUGUCCACUCGCCGUAGCCGGAUACACAAACACACACACGGUUCCUGCAUCCCGUUGCUAACUUACAGCUAGCUUAUGCUAACGUCUGUACUGUUGCUACUUUGGCUGUUCGGGGGCGAAUAAACAAACGACCCCGCGGUCACAUUCACCGGAAUGAUGCUAGGAGAAAAGUAGGCAUCGUUGUGAGAAGGAAUAUGGCGUUUGGUAUCGGUUUUGUUUGUGUUUCUGCAAAUAGACGGUUGCAGGUGGACUGGUGUUUACAUGGUCCGUGGGAGCUGGAAGUCCGCAGCUGUGUGGCGGCUGCAGUGCUUUUAUUAGUCUCCUAGCUGCAGACCUGCAGCCUCAAUGGAUGUCAUCUGGGAAGAAGAAGAGGAGCCUUGUAGAGACCAGCUGAAGGAACAUCUUCUCUGAGCUGAAGCUCUGAGAUGAGUGCAGAGUUUCCGGACCACAACGGAGAAGUUCCUUCACUCCAUUCAUGCCUUCUUCUUUUCGUACUCACUGUAUACUCAUAGUAUUGUAUGUCAUGAAAUAAUUUA
This is a long non-coding RNA of Perca fluviatilis (European perch), 597 nucleotides long. RefSeq lists it as uncharacterized. NCBI's taxonomy places the organism in Eukaryota, Metazoa, Chordata, Actinopteri, Perciformes, Percidae. The record is from RefSeq and is a predicted model, not a curated record. The transcript has 3 exons.